UGAGAACAGCGGCAGAGAAAGAGCUUAUAAGAGAAGCGGAGAGAAACAGCUCACUGUGUACUUCUCCCAGGCUAAAAAAGGAGAGCCCUCAGUUAGAUGGGAAAGAGUAGCCUCAACAUAUGGUUAUGGGCACCGCCUUAUGUCGGCCGUUGUUGAAGGUAUAACUGGCAAUGCUGACGAGCUAGCUAGGAGCCUACAGCACCUUAAUGUACCGCCACCUUUGUCAUCAGCAAUGGAAGACGUAGAUCGAGAAAUGGCACGGUAAAAAUUUGUUCAUGGGGCCUUGGUGGCUAAGUAAUUGAAGGCGCUUGCAGAUCUGCUAAAGCUGGCUUUUCACCACUACAAUACCCCUUUGUUGAAACUGGAUAUAUGUAUGAUAAUGUCAUAUGAAAGAGUGGCCAGCACUCACCAAAGUUUGGUGAUUCCCUCCGGGUACUCCGGCUUCCUCAUGUGAGCACUGUUGUUGAAGUGAAACCUUCGUGGCCGAGCGGUUAGCGUGCAUUGUACGAUAACCGCUGUAGCAUCGCACCAAUGAGGUUGUGAGUUCAAAUCCAGCUGCCAUUGGCUUUGUCUCCAGAUUUACGAGCGAAGGUUUUCCAGCAA
Long non-coding RNA from Liolophura sinensis, 603 nucleotides. RefSeq lists it as uncharacterized. NCBI's taxonomy places the organism in Eukaryota, Metazoa, Mollusca, Polyplacophora, Chitonida, Chitonidae. The transcript is spliced from 3 exons. The record is from RefSeq and is a predicted model, not a curated record.